This 468-nucleotide ribosomal RNA is filed under the name uncultured bacterium. RNAcentral's name for it is "partial 16S ribosomal RNA". It matches the Rfam family "Bacterial small subunit ribosomal RNA", at positions 28 to 507 of the family's 1533-position model. The record is from RNAcentral.
GACGAACGCUGGCGGCGUGCUUAACACAUGCAAGUCGAACGGAAAGGCCCUGCUUUUGUGGGGUGCUCGAGUAGCGAACGGGUGAGUAACACGUGAGUACCCUGCCCUUGACUUUGGGAUAACUUCAGGAAACUGGGGCUAAUACCGGAUAGGAGCUCCUACUGCAUGGUGGGGGUUGGAAAGUUUCGGCGGUUGGGGAUGGACUCGCGGCUUAUCAGCUUGUUGGUGGGGUAGUGGCUUACCAAGGCUUUGACGGGUAGCCGGCCUGAGAGGGUGACCGGGCACAUUGGGACUGAGAUACGGACCAGACGCCUACGGGAGGCAGCAGGCGGGAAUAUUGCACAAUGGGCGGAAGCCUGAUGCAGCAACGCCGCGUGCGGGAUGACGGCCUUCGGGUUGUAAACCGCUGUCGCCUGUGACGCAGCGUGAGUGACGGUAAUUGGUAAAGAAGCACCGGCUAACUACGUG